AAAAUACGGGAGGCAGCAGUAGGGAAUCUUCCGCAAUGGACGCAAGUCUGACGGAGCAACGCCGCGUGAGUGAAGAAGGUCUUCGGAUCGUAAAGCUCUGUUGUUAGAGAAGAACAGCGCAUAGAGUAACUGUUAUGCGUGUGACGGUAUCUAACCAGAAAGCCACGGCUAACUACGUGCCAGCAGCCGCGGUAAUUUU
This 199-nucleotide ribosomal RNA is filed under the name uncultured bacterium. RNAcentral describes it as "partial 16S ribosomal RNA". It matches the Rfam family "Bacterial small subunit ribosomal RNA", at positions 333 to 527 of the family's 1533-position model. The record is from RNAcentral.